UUUACAUUUUAACACUAUCAUAACGUGUUUAAAAACGUCUCGCAACGUUUUUAACAUUACUGAAAACAAAAUGAACGAAGAUAACAACAAAGACGAUUAUUUUGUUGAACGAGAGAAUAUGAAAAAUUUAGUAAACGAAGAACCUUUCACACAGGGUGGACAUAGGAGAACAAAUCUAGAUGUAUUGUUUGAUGCUAUAGGCCAAAGUGGUGUUGGUGAUGCUAUGGACCAAAGUGAAGGGGAAGAAGGUGGUGUUGGUGAUGCUAUAGACCAAAGUGAAGGGCAAAUUAAUGAUGUUGAUGAUGCUAUGGAUCAGAGUGGAGGGCACCUAGAUGGUGCUGAUGAUGCUAUAGAUAAAGAUCUAUAUGAACUCCAAGCUAAACUUCACAAGGGUGAAGAAGGUGUGAAGACUACAACAACAACAACCUUGGAUGUUCCGAACGUUGUUCCAGCUGUGGAUUACGUUGUUGCUGAUGCUGUUGAAGAAAUUGAAGGAGGUGGAAAUGAUUCUUUUGCUGAAAAGGAAAAUUCCGAGGUGGAAAAAGAGGUAUCAGAUUAUGAAGAUGAAAAAGAAGAAGAAGAUGAAGAUGAUGAAUCAGAAAAUGGGGCUGAUGAUCCUGAACUUGAAACAGGUCUAUCUCUUGAUGAUGGCUUCUUUGAAGUUGAAGCUAUUCGUCGCAAGAGAUACCGCAAGGGGAAGUUGGAGUACUUUGUGAAAUGGAUGGGAUGGGAGGAGUCAGCAAAUACUUGGGAGCCUCGAGAUAAUUUGGUUGCUCUUCCUGAUAUUGUUCAAGCUUUUGAGGAAGGCUUGAAAUCGACACCGCAUCAGAAGCGCAAGCGCAAGCAAUCUAGUAAUAGCGCUAAGCUCAACAAAAGGGUGGAGCGUUCCGCCACUCCUUACAGCCUUAGAAGCAUAAAAACUAGCACCACCCAUUCAAAGGCGUCUAUCAGUAAUUCAAAGCCCGCCACUCCUUACAGCCUUAGAAGCAUAAAAACUAGCACCAAGAAUUCAAAGGCGGCUAACAGUAAUUCAAAGCCCGCCACCCCUCUCAACGAACAACCUAGUAUUCCCGACAUUCCUGCAUUUCCUCAGACCGUGCUGUUUGCUGACGAAGUGGAAAAUUACGGUGAUGGAAGCAGUCUUGAAAAAGUCAAUCAUGCUAAUGAUGAUAUGUCUGUGGAUCCCCCAGAAGAGGUUCCUCAAAACAAGUCUGAUCCUAAGCUUACUCCAAACACUGAAGAAAACGAGUCUGAUGAUCCUAAGCUUACUUCAAACAUUGAAGAAAACAAGUCUGAUGAUCCUAAGCUUACUUCAAACAUUGACGAAAACAAGUCUGGUGAUCCUAAGCUUACUCCAAACGUCGAAGAAAACAAGUCUGAUGAUCCUAAGCUUACUCCAAACAUCGAAGAAAACAAGUCUGGUCGCAGGCUUACUCGAAACAAUAAGAAAAACAAGACUGGUCCUAAGCUGACUCGAAACAAUAAGGAAAUCAAGUCCGGUCCUAAGCUUACUCGAAACAAUAAGGAAUACAAGUCUGAUAAGCUUACUCCAAGCAUUGAAGAAAACAAGUCUGCUUCUAAGCUUACUCGAAACAAUAAGGAAAACAAGUCGGAUCCUAAGCUUACUCCAAACCUUGAAGAAAACAAGUCUGAUCCUAAGCUUACUCCAAACCUUGAAGAAAACAAGUCUGAUCCUAAGCUUACUCCAAACCUUGAAGAAAAAGAGUCUGAUCCUAAGCUUACUCCAAACAUCGAAGAAAACAAGCCCGAUCCUAAGCUUACUCAAAACAAUAACGAAAACAAGUCGGAUCCUAAGCUUACUCCAAACAUUGAAGAAAAAGAGUCUGAUCCUAAGCUUACUCCAAACAUUGAAGAAAACAAGUCUGAUCCUAAGCUUACUCCAAAUAUUGAAGAAAACAAGUCUGAUCCUAAGCUAACUCCAAACAAGGAGGAAAACGAGUCUGAUCCUAAGCUUAGCGAACUUAAAGCCACAGCAACCAAUGGAAACAGCGCUGGCAACCUCGCAAUACAGUUUGAAGAAGCUGUGACUCCUCCAGUAAAACCUCACAUGAAUGAACAACCAAAUGCGGUUUUCACAGAAGCGAUUACCAAAAAAACUACAGGUAGCGCAGAACCUGUUCAAACUGGCUCUGCCCGGUCAGGAACCAGACGGAGAAAAACUACUGCUGUGAAGAGGUUCACCCGAGCUUCAUUAGCUAGUAAGACCGGUAAUGCAGGAGUUUCUGAUAUUGCGGCUCCUAGUAGUCAUACAGUGACAGAACCUGUGAAACCGGGGUCCGAUAUUGUCGAGAUUGUCAAGCCGGUAGGCUAUUCAGCUGCAGAAGCCAGCACCAAUCAGGAAGCUUCGGUGACCUUCAAGGUUAAAAGAGAAAAAUAGCGUUUUACACAUCUCAAAAGGUCGGAUGGAUCAGAAGUUAUCGUCGAUAAUAACUAUCUCAAAACAAACCAUCCAAUUCUUCUGAUCGACUACUACGAGCAGCAUCUGCAGUACAGUCCGAAACCAUCGUGAUCGAAGAGAUUAUAGAAGGAAGCUUCAUAUUUUGAUGUGUUGUUGAUUAUGUUGUAGAUGCUGGACAUAGUAAGGGGAAGUCAAGCUUUGUUUGUUAGUGAUAUUUUUAGGUUUGAUGACUAUUGAUGACUAUUUAAACUGUGGAAUAAUCUGUGGCUAUUUACUUUGAUGUUUGCUUAUGAGUUCCUCCACAUUUCAAGUUGAAGGUGGUUUUUAUUGUGUUGCUCAAGAACAAAACCUUGUUUUGGUUUAAUUUCAAAUUUUCUGGAACUUAUUGUUA
RNA transcript from Lathyrus oleraceus (garden pea), 2810 nucleotides. RefSeq lists it as uncharacterized. The transcript is spliced from 9 exons. Lineage: Eukaryota; Viridiplantae; Streptophyta; Magnoliopsida; Fabales; Fabaceae. The record is from RefSeq and is a predicted model, not a curated record.